Uranotaenia lowii is the source of this 502-nucleotide long non-coding RNA. RefSeq lists it as uncharacterized. The transcript is spliced from 2 exons. Lineage: Eukaryota; Metazoa; Arthropoda; Insecta; Diptera; Culicidae. The record is from RefSeq and is a predicted model, not a curated record.
CGAAAAAAAUCAGAAUAGAAAUCUCCUGUAUCUCACGACGUUGCUAAAAUAACAGUUGUGGUUUCGAAAUGUGUUUUUGUUGCGCUUUCAUUUGCUCGCUGUCGGUUUCAUCGUGGAAGUGGAAGUAUGUGACUUGAAUUUAAAAUAUUUCUGUACAUCUAACAAUGAUUCAUUUCUUCUAAAUACAACGUGCGUCAUGUGUUUAGGCCUCUACUCGAAAAAGCGGAGUUUCUGGAAACAGUGCUGGAGGAACAGUUCUCCCCGGAGGAUCCUCCGGCGCAGUUAUAAACCACAAAAUCAACUGCCCGGCGAAUGGAUCUUCGACGUUCAACUCGCAGCCCAAUUUUUCACCGUCAAACAUAUGGUUGAGCUGGCGAAAUAUAUGAAUUCUUAUGAACGUGCCAAUGAGACCAGCACCGGCGUCGUUAUUUUAUGAAUAAAACUUUUUCUAAUAUUAUACUGCUUCUCAUAAAGAAUAAUAAAAGUUUAUUGAUUUUGAAAA